UACGUAGGGGCCUAGCGUUGUCCGGAAUUAUUGGGCGUAAAGAGCUCGUAGGCGGUUCGGCAAGUCGGAUGUGAAAUCUCCACGCUUAACGUGGAGGGGCCAUUCGAAACUGCCGUGACUCGAGUCCGGUAGGGGAGUGUGGAAUUCCCGGUGUAGCGGUGAAAUGCGCAGAUAUCUGGAGGAACACCGGUGGCGAAGGCGGCAUCCUGGACCAACACUGACACUGAUGAGCGAAAGCCAGGGGAGCAAACGGG
Molecule: ribosomal RNA, 254 nt
Filed under: uncultured bacterium
Lineage: Bacteria
Description: partial 16S ribosomal RNA
Rfam family: Bacterial small subunit ribosomal RNA
Source: RNAcentral